RNAcentral lists this small RNA (163 nucleotides) under Octodon degus (degu). RNAcentral describes it as "7SK RNA (ENSODEG00000022740.1)". It matches the Rfam family "7SK RNA", at positions 102 to 273 of the family's 331-position model. From Rfam's summary of the family: 7SK was discovered as an abundant small nuclear RNA in the mid-70s but a possible function has only recently been suggested. Two independent studies have found that 7SK RNA binds the CDK9/cyclin T complex (known as elongation factor P-TEFb). Lineage: Eukaryota; Metazoa; Chordata; Mammalia; Rodentia; Octodontidae. The record is from RNAcentral.
UCCUUUCAAUAGAUCAUUAGUUGAGCGCUCGGUCGAAGAGGACGACCACCUCCGAUAGAGGAGGACCAUUCCUCGGUCAAGGGUAUAUGAGUAGCUGCCCUCCCCUGCUAGAACCUCCAAACAAGCUCUCAAUAGACCAUUAGAAAUCAGCAGUAUGAUUACC